This 615-nucleotide ribosomal RNA is filed under the name Eupholus sp. 2 MVD-2017. RNAcentral describes it as "SSU rRNA". It matches the Rfam family "Eukaryotic small subunit ribosomal RNA", at positions 14 to 610 of the family's 1831-position model. Lineage: Eukaryota; Metazoa; Arthropoda; Insecta; Coleoptera; Curculionidae. The record is from RNAcentral.
CUGCCAGUAGUCAUAUGCUUGUCUCAAAGAUUAAGCCAUGCAUGUCUCAGUACAAGCCAAAUAAGGUGAAACCGCGAAAGGCUCAUUAAAUCAGUUAUGGUUCCUUAGAUCGUACCCACAAUUACUUGGAUAACUGUGGUAAUUCUAGAGCUAAUACAUGCAAACAGAGCUCCGACCGGAGACGGAAGGAGUGCUUUUAUUAGAUCAAAACCAAUCGGUGGCGAGUUCGCUCGUCAUCGUACAACUUGGUGACUCUGAAUAACUUUACGCUGAUCGCACGGUCUCGCACCGGCGACGCAUCUUUCAAAUGUCUGCCUUAUCAACUGUCGAUGGUAGGUUCUGCGCCUACCAUGGUUGUAACGGGUAACGGGGAAUCAGGGUUCGAUUCCGGAGAGGGAGCCUGAAAACGGCUACCACAUCCAAGGAAGGCAGCAGGCGCGCAAAUUACCCACUCCCGGCACGGGGAGGUAGUGACGAAAAAUAACGAUACGGGACUCAUCCGAGGCCCCGUAAUCGGAAUGAGUACACUCUAAACCCUUUAACGAGGAUCAAUUGGAGGGCAAGUCUGGUGCCAGCAGCCGCGGUAAUUCCAGCUCCAAUAGCGUAUAUUAAAGU